UUCCGGGCUAUAAUGGUAGUUAAGGGGCACAGAUACAUUGAAAUCUGCCCCCCUUGCCAGACUGGCAUCUCCACUGGCCUUAGUCAUCCCUACUUGUCCAACUUAUUCUUGUACAAUAGUGCCUUCUGUCUGGAAGGCCCUGCCCACCCCUAACAAGUCGCAGUCUAUACUUUCUGCAAGGGUCAGUUAAAAUCCUUCCUCUCCUAAUGUUAGACCUCAGUGAUCCCUCCUUCCCCACAGUCUACAGCACAGUCCACAACACAGACCAACGCUUGUUUUACUCUGCUAGGAUGCUCAAUUUUUCUCAGUAUUCCUUCCAGAAGCUUCUCAAAAGCAAGGGGGGUGUAGUUUCUUCAGUUACCUCAUUAUUUCCCUACAGCCCUGCAUGAGGCUGGUACGCAGCAACAUUUAAAUGAUACUUGCUGAGGUCCUGCUGACCCACAACUGACCCAUCAGAAGUCAGUCAGACAGGGUUGGGUUGGAAGGUGGCCCCAAGGACAGUGUCUUAGGCUGGAGGGAGAUGCCUGACACUGAAGGAGGCUGGUCCUCCCAGUUGUCCUCUGCCAACAUCCAGGAAUGAGGGCUCUACAUGAGGGGCUGUCUGUGGAUAUAGCUGGUUCACCCAGUCUGCAUCUGAGCCCUAGAAGUCAAGUACCACAUCUUAUACUUUUCCUGUGUACCCUCUAGAUGUACCCAGUACUGUGGUGAGAACAUGGUGUUUCCAAAAAUAUUUGUUCAAUCAAAGCACUAAUUCAGUUUGGGAGGGGACUACUUUGGUGUUCCAAUUUUUUGUUUCUGUUCAAUAAGCUAAAUAUGGUUCUGGUUCAAAUUGUUUUAUCAUGGUUCUUCCAUGCUAGAAUUUAAGCUCCAAGAGGGCAGAGAUUAUUCAUCUCUUUUUCAGUCCUGUUCCUGUCACCUAGCACAGUACCUGGGACAUAGUAAGUUUUUAAUAAGUAUCUACUGAAUGAAGCGUAUCCUCAAGGCUCCAUUUUGUGUGGGUGGUUCUCCUUUUCCAUGCUCUGCCUGCUCCCCUUAUCUAUUUCCGGAGACACCUACCUUUAUAGCUGGCCUCCUCUUGGAUGUCUUGUAGGCAUAUGUCCAAAAUGGAAAUCUGUACCUUCCUCCAAAACUAUCUGUCUUUAUGUGCUAGCCCCUAUCCAGUCAAUGACAUCACUUACCUAGCAACUUGUAACAGAACUAAGUCUACUUUGUAUUUGUUUUUCUCUUCCUUGCGCCUAAUUCUCUCCCAUCUAUGAUGUAGAUUAGAUUAGCCAGGCAUAAAAGGCUCUUUAAGAUGUAGCCCUGCCUCACCGCUCACCAUCUCAUGUACCCCUGGACUCUAAGCAGAGUGAACUGCUCCCCACAGGUCAGGCUCUUUCACCUGGCUAUGCCUCUGCAUACACAGUUCACUAUAACUAGAAUUUUCUCGUUUGUUUACAGGAUGUCUAUUCAUCUUUGAGGUCCAGCUCCACUGUCUCUCUUCCCGGGAUACAUCCAGUGUUGUGGCAGCUUCCUCCUCUUGCUCCCUAGCAUUUUGUCCAGGUUUCAUCACAACACCUAGAACAAUAAAUUCUAUCACUGCCUGUCUCCUGCCUCAUGAUAGGAACUUCUUAAGGGAGUGAGUAGAUGUAUGAAAAUGGAACAUCUCUACCUGAAAACAGGAACAGGAACCAGGAAGG
Long non-coding RNA from Panthera uncia (snow leopard), 1679 nucleotides. RefSeq lists it as uncharacterized. Lineage: Eukaryota; Metazoa; Chordata; Mammalia; Carnivora; Felidae. The transcript is spliced from 2 exons. The record is from RefSeq and is a predicted model, not a curated record.